UCAGAAAGUCCUGCCAGAACUCUUUGCUGUACCCCUCCACUGCUCUGCUUUGUGUAAAUCCUGCUUGCUAUAUUCCCAGGGAAACUCCAAUGGAAUUAAGCCUCAGAGAUGUAAAAAGAGUGGUUAACUACAGUGAAACAGAAGACAUUUCCAGACAAUAAAUCUGUCAUAUGUCCUUAAGGUUUAUCCACCUGCAUAUGAAUAACUGUGAUGAACAUGGAAGAACUGAAGCAGAAGGAGAAAGGAAGGAGAAGGGUCAGGUACGGCUCUUGUGGACAAUGAAGGCAUUGAGAGUCAGCAGUCCUGAGACUUAGAGCUCCAACUGGAUGCCAAAUCCUAGAGAAACAAGAGCUGAUCACUUGCCACGAUGGUGCAGGGAGCUGUGGUCUCAACCCUUGGAAACAUCAUCAAAAUAAGCUGUUUG
RNAcentral lists this long non-coding RNA (424 nucleotides) under Heterocephalus glaber (naked mole-rat). RNAcentral describes it as "lncRNA (ENSHGLG00100030912.2)". The record is from RNAcentral. Lineage: Eukaryota; Metazoa; Chordata; Mammalia; Rodentia; Bathyergidae.